GGUCGUGUAAUGUAGUGGUUAACAUUCCUGAUUUUGAUUCAGGUCACCUGGGUUCGAAUCCCAGCAUGACCU
Molecule: transfer RNA, 72 nt
Filed under: Sporisorium reilianum SRZ2
Lineage: Eukaryota; Fungi; Basidiomycota; Ustilaginomycetes; Ustilaginales; Ustilaginaceae
Description: tRNA-Gln (TTG) (tRNA-Gln-TTG-1-1)
Rfam family: tRNA
About the family: Transfer RNA (tRNA) molecules are approximately 80 nucleotides in length. Their secondary structure includes four short double-helical elements and three loops (D, anti-codon, and T loops). Further hydrogen bonds mediate the characteristic L-shaped molecular structure. tRNAs have two regions of fundamental functional importance: the anti-codon, which is responsible for specific mRNA codon recognition, and the 3' end, to which the tRNAs corresponding amino acid is attached (by aminoacyl-tRNA synthetases). tRNAs cope with the degeneracy of the genetic code in two manners: having more than one tRNA (with a specific anti-codon) for a particular amino acid; and 'wobble' base-pairing, i.e. permitting non-standard base-pairing at the 3rd anti-codon position.
Source: RNAcentral